This 906-nucleotide long non-coding RNA is filed under the name Homo sapiens (human). RNAcentral describes it as "HSALNT0312755". Lineage: Eukaryota; Metazoa; Chordata; Mammalia; Primates; Hominidae. The record is from RNAcentral.
CUAAAACUAUCCUAUCAGGAGUAUCUAGAAUUAAGACACUGAGUGGGAAGAGAGAUACAAAUAUGUCCAUAGAAAUAUGGAAGGUUUUAAGCCAGAAAAUCCUUAAAUGAAGGUCUGUAGCAGUAUCUCUCCAGAUAUUUAAAAAUACAAUGAUCACCAAAAUAUGCUAUAAAUGUUUAAAAUGGACUCCUAUCGAAAGUUCAGAGGUUAAAGAUGAUGUUGUUUAUGGUACUCCUAGAAAUUGAUUCUUCUUUAUUUUUUCUUUUCGUUGAGUUUAAUUGCCACUAGAAUUAUUUUCAAGUUAAGAAGAUAAGAGGAUUGACUUUUUAAACUUCAAAAUGAACUUCCCUGCUGUGACUGACUAUAUUCCCCAGUAUGGAGAAUUAUGAGGAACCUGUUGAACAGAAAAGUCUCUGACCAUAAUCAAGGUCACACAGUCAGAAGGCAUCCCAGCAGACACUCCACACUAGCCAAUGUGGAUUCAGAGACUGCACCCUUGAUUACUGUGUUGUUUGAUGAUACUAGUGCACCUUCAUGAAUCAGAACUUUCCAUAUAUGGAGGUUAUUCAGCAUGUCCUUUGUGAGUAAUGGUUACAGGUAUAAGGUGCAUACAGGUAGAUGUGAAGAAGGCAGUGGAGGAUAACAGGAAAAUGGAAGAGAAUGAGGAAAUGUAUGGUCCUGUGGAAGAAACACUGGAAUUAAGAUUUCCACGGGGGGCAGAGAUGAUUUUCCUGGCUCUGGGCCUCAUGGUUUCACACUACCUUUGUAAUUUCUCUUGGAGCCUUUCAUUACAGAACUAAAGUUGCCUCUGCUCAGCUGUAUUCUUCUUUGAGGUGAAGUUUGAGGGUCUUUGAUUACUCAUGACAGCCUAGAAGAGAGGAGAGGACAACCAGAAUUAAAGGGCAG